UGAGUGAAAAAAAUCUCAUUACUGAAGAACUCAAAGAACGGCUUGAAUUCUACUCUGAUCUACAACUAGAGUUUAUGGAGAAAAAGGGCCAUGAAUACUCCAACGAAUAUAGAGAGUUUGCCCUCACACUUCAUCUCCAUGGCCCAAAGGCAUACAAAUACCUUAGAGAGAAGCGAAGAUUUCCCCUCCCACAUCCGCACACAUUACAAAGGUGGUUGUGUUCAGUAGAUGACAGGCCUGGCUUGAACAAGAUGAUGCUGGACAUGCUGGAGAGAAAAUGCCAGGAAGACCAUGCUAAAUAUGGAUUUGUUGCACUCAUUUUGGAUGCAAUGGCAAUCAGAAAACAUGUGCAAUAUAAUCUACAUACA
Long non-coding RNA from Xiphophorus maculatus (southern platyfish), 368 nucleotides. RefSeq lists it as uncharacterized. The record is from RefSeq and is a predicted model, not a curated record. NCBI's taxonomy places the organism in Eukaryota, Metazoa, Chordata, Actinopteri, Cyprinodontiformes, Poeciliidae. The transcript has 3 exons.